RNAcentral lists this transfer RNA (73 nucleotides) under Ruaniaceae bacterium KH17. It matches the Rfam family "tRNA". From Rfam's summary of the family: Transfer RNA (tRNA) molecules are approximately 80 nucleotides in length. Their secondary structure includes four short double-helical elements and three loops (D, anti-codon, and T loops). Further hydrogen bonds mediate the characteristic L-shaped molecular structure. tRNAs have two regions of fundamental functional importance: the anti-codon, which is responsible for specific mRNA codon recognition, and the 3' end, to which the tRNAs corresponding amino acid is attached (by aminoacyl-tRNA synthetases). tRNAs cope with the degeneracy of the genetic code in two manners: having more than one tRNA (with a specific anti-codon) for a particular amino acid; and 'wobble' base-pairing, i.e. permitting non-standard base-pairing at the 3rd anti-codon position. The record is from Rfam by way of RNAcentral. Lineage: Bacteria; Bacillati; Actinomycetota; Actinomycetes; Micrococcales; Ruaniaceae.
GCCUCCGUAGCUCAAUGGAUAGAGCAACAGACUUCUAAUCUGCAGGUUGUCGGUUCGAGUCCGACCGGGGGCG